RNAcentral lists this ribosomal RNA (3059 nucleotides) under Bifidobacterium breve. RNAcentral describes it as "bacterial LSU rRNA". It matches the Rfam family "Bacterial large subunit ribosomal RNA". Lineage: Bacteria; Bacillati; Actinomycetota; Actinomycetes; Bifidobacteriales; Bifidobacteriaceae. The record is from RNAcentral.
GUGUUGCCUGCAAGGGCGUAUGGUGGAUGCCUUGGCAGACAGGACCGAUGAAGGACGUUUGAGGCUGCGAUAUGCCUCGGGGAGCCGCCAACAGGGCUUUGAUCCGAGGAUUUCCGAAUGGGGGAACCCACCGGCCGUCAUGGGCCGGUACCGCCGUGUGCGGGGGUACGCAGGGAAGUGAAACAUCUCAGUACCUGCAGGAAAGGAUAUUCCGUGAGUAGUGGCGAGCGAAAGCGGAUCAGGCCAAACCUUGCGCGUGUGAUACCCGUCGGGGGUUGCGCGCGGGGUGUAGAGGGAUCGCGUUUGCCGGCUCCGACGGGCCGGCCGUCAGUUGCAUAAAACCAUGUGCCAGGGGAACCGGGUUGAAUACCGGGCCGCAGAGGGUGAGGGCCCCGUACCCGAACGCGCAUGGUCUGGCGAUCGCGUCUCCCAAGUAGCACGGGCCCCGUGGAAUCCCGUGCGAAUCUGUCCCGACCGUGGGAUAAGCCUAAAUAUUCCUGUCUGACCGAUAGCGAACGAGUACCGUGAGGGAAAGGUGAAAAGUACCCCGGGAGGGGAGUGAAACAGUCUCUGAAACCAUGCGCCUACGAACCGUCGGGGCCCUCUUGUGGGGUGACGGCGUGCCUAUCGAAAAAUGAGUCUGCGAGUCAGUGGCAUGUGGCGAGCAUAACCCGUGUGGGGUAUGCGUAGCGAAGGCGAGUCUUAAAAGGCGUUUGAGUCGCGUGUCCUGGACCCGAAGCGGGAUGAUCUAGCCCUGAGCAGGUUGAAGCGCGGGUAAGACCGUGUGGAGGACCGAACCCACCUGGGUUGAAAACCGGGGGAUGACUUGGGGCUAGGGGUGAAAGGCCAAUCAAAUUCCGUGAUAGCUGGUUCUCUCCGAAAUGCAUUUAGGUGCAGCGUCGGAUCGAUUACAUCCGGGGGGUAGAGCGACUGGAUGCUUGCGGGCCCAUAUCGGGUACCAACAGCAACCAAACUCCGAAUACCCGUGAUGCGUAUCCCGGCAGUGAGUCGGCGGGGGAUAAGCUCCGUCGUCGAAAGGGAAACAGCCCAGAUCGUCGUCUAAGGUCCCCAAGCGUGUGCUAAGUGGGAAAGGAUGUGGAGUCGCAUAGACAGCCAGGAGGUUGGCUCAGAAGCAGCCACCCUUGAAAGAGUGCGUAACAGCUCACUGGUCUAGUGGUUCCGCGCCGACAAUGUAGCGGGGCUCAAGCACACCACCGAAGACGCGGCAGUAGCUUUGCUACUGGGUAGGAGAGCGUCCCAUGCGGGGCGAAGCGGCGGCGCAAGCCCGCCGUGGACCGCAUGGGAGUGAGAAUGCAGACAUGAGUAGCGAAAGACGGGUGAAGAUCCCGUCCGCUGGACGACCAAGGGUUCCAGGGCCACGUUCAUCGUCCCUGGGUGAGUCGGGUCCUAAGGCGAGGCCGACAGGCGUAGUCGAAUGGACGAACGGGUCGAUAUUCCCGUACCGGCAUGCAACCGGCAAAACCGAAUCCGCGAGUACUAACUUCCGGGUCCGGGCUCACGUCUCCUUCGGGAGCCGGAUGCCCUGGCCUGUUGGGACCGUAACGGUAGUAGGUCAGCGCGGGAGUGACGCAGAAGGGUAGCCGGCCGCGGAGGUGGUCUUCCGUGGUCAAGCACGCAGCCCGUCCCACAGGCAAAUCCGUGGGGCGCGUGGGCGAGGUGCGAUGAUGGGCGCCGCAGGGCGCGAUAUCCGGUGAUCCCGGCUGCCGAGAAAAGCUUCGGCGUGAGGCGGCAUGCCGCCCGUACCCCAAACCGACACUGGUGGUCAGGUAGAGAAUACCAAAGCGAUCGAGCGAAUCCUGGUCAAGGAACUCGGCAAAUCACUCCCGUUCCUUCGGUUUAAGGGAGACCCCCGAUGGUGAAGCGGCUUGCCCGCGGAGCUUUUGGGGGUGGCACAGACCAGGGGGUAGCGACUGUUUACCAAAAACACAGGAGCGUGCGAAGGCGCAAGCCGCUGUAUACGCUCUGACGCCUGCCCGGUGCCGGAAGGUUAAGAGGAUCCGUCAGGCCUCGGCCGAAGCGGUGAAUUCAAGCCCCGGUAAACGGCGGUGGUAACUAUAACCAUCCUAAGGUAGCGAAAUUCCUUGUCGGGUAAGUUCCGACCUGCACGAAUGGCGUAACGACUUCCCCACUGUCUCGACCAGGAGCUCGGCGAAAUUGCAGUACGAGUAAAGAUGCUCGUUAAGCGCAGAAGGACGAAAAGACCCCGGGACCUUUACUAUACCUUGGUAUUGGCAUUCGGUGUGGAUUGUGUAGCAUAGGCGGAAGGCUUCGAAGCCACGGCGCCAGCCGCGGUGGAGCCGCAAGGUGAAAUACCGCUCUGUUCGCAUUGGAUGUCUAACCUCGACCAGUCAUCCUGGUCAGGGACAGUGCCUGGCGGGUAGUUUAACUGGGGCGGUUGCCUCCCAAAGAGUAACGGAGGCGCUCAAAGGUUCCCUCAGCCCGGUUGGCAAUCGGGUGGCGAGUGUAAGUGCACAAGGGAGCUUGACUGCGAGACUGACGGGUCGAGCAGGGACGAAAGUCGGAACUAGUGAUCCGGUGCCGGUGUACGGACGCGGCAUCGCUCAACGGAUAAAAGGUACCCCGGGGAUAACAGGCUGAUCAUUCCCAAGAGUCCAUAUCGACGGGAUGGUUUGGCACCUCGAUGUCGGCUCGUCGCAUCCUGGGGCUGGAGCAGGUCCCAAGGGUUCGGCUGUUCGCCGAUUAAAGCGGCACGCGAGCUGGGUUCAGAACGUCGUGAGACAGUUUGGUCUCUAUCCUCUGCGCUCGUCGGAAUGUUGAGGAGGCCUGCCCAUAGUACGAGAGGACCUGGGUGGACGAACCUCUGGUAUGCCGGUUGUCACGCCAGUGGCACGGCCGGUUGGCUACGUUCGGAAGGGAUAACCGCUGAAAGCAUCUAAGCGGGAAGCCUGCUCCAAGAUAAGCAUUCCAUAGGACUACGGGUCCUUGAAGUCCCCAUGCAGAACACGUGGUUGAUAGGCCGGACGUGGAAGCCCCGCGAGGGGUGGAGCCGACCGGUACUAACGGACGAAAGGCAACAC